RNAcentral lists this ribosomal RNA (358 nucleotides) under uncultured fungus. Its description in RNAcentral is "LSU rRNA". It matches the Rfam family "Eukaryotic large subunit ribosomal RNA", at positions 320 to 667 of the family's 3401-position model. The record is from RNAcentral. Lineage: Eukaryota; Fungi.
AUAUUGGCGAGAGACCGAUAGCAAACAAGUACCGUGAGGGAAAAAAGAAAAGAACUUUGGAAAGAGAGUGAAACAGUACGUGAAAUUGUUGAAAGGGAAACGCUUGAAGUCAGUCGCAUUGUCUGGGAAUCAGUCUUGCUUUUGCUUGAUGUACUUUCCAGUUAAUGGGUCAGCAUCAGUUUUGAUCGUUGGAUAAAGGCUGGAGGAAUGUGGCAUCUUCGGAUGCGUUAUAGCCUUCAGUUGCAUACAACGGUUGGGACUGAGGAAUUCAGCACGCCGCAAGGCCGGGUCUUGUACCACGUUCGUGCUUAGGAUGCUGGCAUAAUGGCUUUAAUCGACCCGUCUUGAAACACGGACC